AUAAAACACAAGAGGAAGUUCUGAUCUGUCCUUUCUGAUCCGCCUCUUGCCGAAGGACCAACAAGGUCUAUGGUGAUACCUCUUAGGGGACGCUGUGGAUCCUUGACUGGUCCCCAAGCACUAAUGUCAUCAUGAAGGAGGAGGGGUCACAAAACCUGCUGCCAGGGGUAGGUGAUCUGGCCCAGUGUGACUCAGAGGGAUGGCUCAUUUGCAUUUGCAUGAGUCAUCACCUUUGUUUUGCUUUGGUGUCAGGUGUCGCGGGAGCCAGCUCUUCAAUGCUGCGAUGCGAAGUCUAAAGUCUUAUAAGCCUCCUGUGAAGUCUCAAGCCAACCAGAAAAUAACUUGCCAAUGCACGUGAUGCCAAAAGUGAACCAAGGAAACUCCCUGAUACAUUGUUGAAUAAUUCAUAAAUACUGAUACAAAUAUGAAACGUGAAGAUGUGUUUUUCUAAGUGAAACCUUUGGUUUCUGCACUGCUUGGUUCGGUUGGUCCGGGGCCCAGCUGAGAAAACAAAAAGCCCCGGAAAAAAUCUAAAAAACAAAAUAAAAAUAGCAAAAUAUGUAACAGAAA
This is a long non-coding RNA of Xyrauchen texanus (razorback sucker), 570 nucleotides long. RefSeq lists it as uncharacterized. The transcript is spliced from 3 exons. The record is from RefSeq and is a predicted model, not a curated record. NCBI's taxonomy places the organism in Eukaryota, Metazoa, Chordata, Actinopteri, Cypriniformes, Catostomidae.